RNAcentral lists this ribosomal RNA (1071 nucleotides) under Salmonella enterica subsp. enterica serovar Montevideo. Its description in RNAcentral is "partial 23S ribosomal RNA". It matches the Rfam family "Bacterial large subunit ribosomal RNA", at positions 430 to 1503 of the family's 2925-position model. Lineage: Bacteria; Pseudomonadati; Pseudomonadota; Gammaproteobacteria; Enterobacterales; Enterobacteriaceae. The record is from RNAcentral.
UAUCCUGUCUGAAUAUGGGGGGACCAUCCUCCAAGGCUAAAUACUCCUGACUGACCGAUAGUGAACCAGUACCGUGAGGGAAAGGCGAAAAGAACCCCGGCGAGGGGAGUGAAAAAGAACCUGAAACCGUGUACGUACAAGCAGUGGGAGCACAGGUUUACCUGUGUGACUGCGUACCUUUUGUAUAAUGGGUCAGCGACUUAUAUUCUGUAGCAAGGUUAACCGAAUAGGGGAGCCGGAGGGAAACCGAGUCUUAAUUGGGCGUUAAGUUGCAGGGUAUAGACCCGAAACCCGGUGAUCUAGCCAUGGGCAGGUUGAAGGUUGGGUAACACUAACUGGAGGACCGAACCGACUAAUGUUGAAAAAUUAGCGGAUGACCUGUGGCUGGGGGUGAAAGGCCAAUCAAACCGGGAGAUAGCUGGUUCUCCCCGAAAGCUAUUUAGGUAGCGCCUCGUGAACUCAUCUCCGGGGGUAGAGCACUGUUUCGGCUAGGGGGCCAUCCCGGCUUACCAACCCGAUGCAAACUGCGAAUACCGGAGAAUGUUAUCACGGGAGACACACGGCGGGUGCUAACGUCCGUCGUGAAGAGGGAAACAACCCAGACCGCCAGCUAAGGUCCCAAAGUCAUGGUUAAGUGGGAAACGAUGUGGGAAGGCCCAGACAGCCAGGAUGUUGGCUUAGAAGCAGCCAUCAUUUAAAGAAAGCGUAAUAGCUCACUGGUCGAGUCGGCCUGCGCGGAAGAUGUAACGGGGCUAAACCAUGCACCGAAGCUGCGGCAGCGACGCUGAUGCGUUGUUGGGUAGGGGAGCGUUCUGUAAGCCUGCGAAGGUGGCCUGUGAGGGUUGCUGGAGGUAUCAGAAGUGCGAAUGCUGACAUAAGUAACGAUAAAGCGGGUGAAAAGCCCGCUCGCCGGAAGACCAAGGGUUCCUGUCCAACGUUAAUCGGGGCAGGGUGAGUCGACCCCUAAGGCGAGGCCGAAAGGCGUAGUCGAUGGGAAACGGGUUAAUAUUCCCGUACUUGGUGUUACUGCGAAGGGGGGACGGAGAAGGCUAUGUUGGCCGGGCGACGGUU